RNAcentral lists this ribosomal RNA (490 nucleotides) under uncultured bacterium. RNAcentral describes it as "bacterial SSU rRNA". It matches the Rfam family "Bacterial small subunit ribosomal RNA", at positions 40 to 507 of the family's 1533-position model. The record is from RNAcentral.
CGGCGUGCCUAACACAUGCAAGUCGUACGAGAAAGUCGGCUUCGGCUGAUGAGUAAAGUGGCGCACGGGUGAGUAACGCGUGGAUAAUCUGCCCUUGAGUGUGGAAUAACGUACCGAAAGGUGCGCUAAUACCGCAUAAUGCCUGGCAACACAAGUUGUCCGGCCAAAGAAGGCCUCUGUUUACAAGCUUUCGCUUCAGGAUGAGUCCGCGUACCAUUAGCUUGUUGGUGGGGUAAUGGCCUACCAAGGCUGCGAUGGUUAGCUGGUCUGAGAGGAUGAUCAGCCACACUGGAACUGAGACACGGCCCAGACUCCUACGGGAGGCAGCAGUGGGGAAUUUUGGACAAUGGGCGCAAGCCUGAUCCAGCCAUGCCGCGUGAGUGGAGAAGGCCUUCGGGUCGUAAAGCUCUUUCGGCUGGGAAGAAAUCGCAUCUCCUAAUACGGGGUGUGGAUGACGGUACCAGCAUAAGAAGCACCGGCUAACUACGUG